RNAcentral lists this ribosomal RNA (297 nucleotides) under Candidatus Acetothermia bacterium. RNAcentral's name for it is "partial 16S ribosomal RNA". It matches the Rfam family "Bacterial small subunit ribosomal RNA", at positions 1231 to 1533 of the family's 1533-position model. The record is from RNAcentral. Lineage: Bacteria; Candidatus Bipolaricaulota.
UGCCCGGUACAAAGGGACGCGAACCCGCGAGGGGGAGCCAAUCCCAAAAAGCCGGGCAUGGUUCGGAUUGCAGGCUGCAACCCGCCUGCAUGAAGUGGGAGUCGCUAGUAAUCGCGGGUCAGCCACACCGCGGUGAAUACGUACUCGGGCCUUGUACACACCGCCCGUCACAUCAACCGAGUCGGGGGUACCUGAAGUCGUCCGAAGAGGGCGCCUAGGGUACCCUCGGCGAGGGGGGUGAAGUCGUAACAAGGUAGCCGUAGGGGAACCUGCGGCUGGAUCACCUCCUUUCUAGGG